Molecule: ribosomal RNA, 449 nt
Filed under: uncultured bacterium
Lineage: Bacteria
Description: bacterial SSU rRNA
Rfam family: Bacterial small subunit ribosomal RNA
Source: RNAcentral
ACGAACGCUGGCGGCAGGCCUAACACAUGCAAGUCGAACGCCCUAGCAAUAGGGAGUGGCAGACGGGUGAGUAACACGUGGGAACCUUCCCUAUAGUACGGAAUAGCCCAGGGAAACUUGGAGUAAUACCGUAUAAGCCCGAGAGGGGAAAGAUUUAUCGCUAUAGGAUGGGCCCGCGUAGGAUUAGCUAGUUGGUGAGGUAAUGGCUCACCAAGGCGACGAUCCUUAGCUGGUUUGAGAGAACGACCAGCCACACUGGGACUGAGACACGGCCCAGACUCCUACGGGAGGCAGCAGUGGGGAAUAUUGGACAAUGGGCGCAAGCCUGAUCCAGCCAUGCCGCGUGAGUGAUGAAGGCCUUAGGGUUGUAAAGCUCUUUUAGCAGGGAAGAUAAUGACUGUACCUGCAGAAUAAGCUCCGGCUAACUUCGUGCCAGCCGCCGCGGUAAU